This is an RNA transcript of Prunus dulcis (almond), 2297 nucleotides long. It is a transcript of the gene named nucleoid-associated protein At4g30620, chloroplastic, with no coding region annotated. The record is from RefSeq and is a predicted model, not a curated record. The transcript has 8 exons. Lineage: Eukaryota; Viridiplantae; Streptophyta; Magnoliopsida; Rosales; Rosaceae.
CGAGGGUAAAGUGGUAAUAUCACGUCUUCAAUGAAUGGGAAAGAUGCCAUUUACACCAUCACACCAUAGACCAACGUUCUGGAGACUUUUUGUGUAACAGCAGCUGCCUACCUCCCUAAGCCAUUUAGCCACUACAGUUGAUGGAACUGCUUCAUGGAGCCACAGAAGUUCUAUUUCUAACUACCAAUUUUCCCUUUUGUCCCUCAGAAACUUCACGGCAGACUGGGGACCAUUUGGUAAUUGCAAAUCCUUCUCUUAAAGAUUGGCUCUUUUUUGUGCAGAGAGCCCUUGGCUUGCAGGGCAGCUGAGGAUUGAAGUGAAGAAGACCUGAGAAAGUAACAAACUUUGUCGGCCUGCCUGCCCUUUUGUUUAAAAAUUGAAUUUUCAGGAAUAAAGAUAAAUUUUGGGAUGCAUUUAACAGUUUGUUAUGUUGAGAGUGAGGGGGAGAGAAAGAGAGAGAGAGAGGGUUUUUGCCUUUUGAUCCGCUUUUCCCAAUACUCGUAUUAAUUAAUUCCAACAGAGAGGCGGAUGUUAUGGGAUGUGGACUUUUUGUUGUCGUUGUUGCUUCUUCCUCUUUCUUUAGCCUGGUCCUGGUAGAAUUUCUGUACUGUACACACAUAAAUAUACAGCAGGUCUAAUCUGAGGGUUUUUAAGUAAUUUGGUGGCAAUUGCUUGCAUUUGGGUUUAGCUGCAAAAGCCAAAAGGUCAAGGUGUGAAAUCCAAACAGGAAUCAAAGGGCAUCGCGUGUUGUUGAUUUAUGACAAACAAACAGUAUAAAGGAGAGAAAUUUGAGAAACAGUCUUUACUUUAUUAUGCAGGAAAGAAGGAAACCACAAAAAUUUAAAGAGGAAACUGCCGAAAACGUUCAACAUGAGCAUUACCAUGCCCACGGACUUUUUGGGUUCGAUUUGGACAAGUCAAGCCACCACCACCCGUUGACAUCGUCAUCUCCUUCAAUGUUGAUUUACAAGUUUCUGCUCGUUUGCGUGAAAAGUUAAUGGUAAGAUAUUUUUAUGGCAGAUUGAAACAGCUGAUGAAAUGGAUCAGACUGUUUAAGUAACAACUAAAAAGUUAAAAAGAAAAUACCAGAGAGAAGCAAAAAGCCCUCCAAUCCCACUACACGUGUUUUCCCUCCACUGGACCGUCAUCAAAACCAGUUCAACUCGUCGUGAAGCCACAUCAAGGAAAUACCUCGACUUUAUCUCUCUGUCGCUUGGUUGGUACCUGGCAAGCAAUGGCGUCGACGAUUUCUCUGAUUGGCCAGAUAUCGAACCCACAUGGACUUGGACUUGACGUCUCCCAAAGACCCAGCACCCCCUUCUCACUCUCCCGCUAUAACUUAAGUUCAAAGACAAAUUUACAGAGCUUAUCUCAUUCUGGUUACCGACACUUUGGGCAUAUUCAGAGAUCUGUCCUUGUUAAUGGUCUUUUUGGCGGAAAGAAAGAAAAUAAUGAGAACAGUGAUGAUGCGCCUUCAAAGGCAGGAGUUCUUGGAAACAUGCAAAAUCUAUAUGAGACUGUGAAGAAGGCACAAAUGGUUGUCCAAGUUGAAGCAGUGCGGGUGCAAAAAGAACUUGCUGUAGAAGAGUUUGAUGGUUACUGCGAAGGGGAGUUAAUAAAGGUUACUCUGUCUGGGAACCAGCAACCUGUUCGCACGGAGAUUACUGAGGCUGCAAUGGAAUUAGGACCAGAAAUAUCAGGUGUGAUUUGAGAAACCCUGGCUCGAUAGAUGAAAAUUUUAGGGUAUGAAAAAGUGGCUGAAUUGACUGGAAAUAUGGCCUCUUUUGGGGAACAUUGGGAUGAAAGUUGGAAAUUUAGAUAUCUGUUAUUUGUGACGGAAGGAUGCAUCAGAAACUUUCGCUUUUAAUUACUGAGGCAUACAAGGAUGCACACCAGAAGAGUGUCCAGGCUAUGAAGGAAAGGAUGAGCAAUCUUGCCCAGAGUUUAGGAAUGCCGCAAGGACUCACUCCUCAGUGAGGAAUCUAAGUGAUGUUACUUAUAUGCAUACUAGUAAGUUGUGUAAGAUGGACAAUUUUGUUUACGAAGGCUCGUUUAUCGUCAUAUGAAACUCUAAUUAAAGUGAAGCUUUAGAAUCUGUGGCCUUUGUGCUGGCUGUUUACUAAACAACCUGAUGUUUAUCUUCCUCUCACCUCUAUAGUAAAAAAAAAAAAAGAAUUAGAGACUGAGGAGGAUAAAAUAUGGUGAUCUGUUUAACUGUUGUCCAUAAGUUUCACUUUCACCUGAGCUGUGGCAAAAUGCAAACAAUGGGCAACAUGAAAAUGGAUUCUUGAAGUAAA